CAACCAAUUCUCCCCAUCUCUCAACUACCUUCGUCUCUCCCCCAAUAGCAGUCAUUAGCUGCAACAAAGUCUCCACCAUCUUCUCUACCCAUUCUCCUCUUCUAACCAGCAACCCAUCGUCUCCCUUUCUUCUCAGCCAUCCUGCUUUUCUCCCUGUUAUGGUGUCCUCACCUCCACCAAUCUCAUUCCUCUUUCCUCCACAGCUGAGCCCACCCAAAACUCAGCUCUUUCUUCCACCUCUCUACCAACAAUUGCAGCUGUUCCAACCACCUAGCAGCAAUAGCCACAACUUACAAACUCUCUGCUACUAGCACUCACCAUCCACCACACCCUCUUCUACCUGUCACCCUGCCCUUCACCAUAUCUCCCCAUCUCCACCUCUCUUUGCUGCCCCCAACCAUCUCGUCUCAGCCCCCUCUCCUUGCUACUCACACAGGCACCAUCCUCCUCGUACCCCAACCAGCAGCUAAUCACCUCCAGCUGUUGCUCUCUCGCUAAUCCUCUGCGGUACACGCAGCCCCUCCUCUGCUCUCAGCCACUUCCAACUCCUCGCACCAUCGGAACCAGGUGGCAACCCGAUCCACCACCCCUCUCGCUGCAACCUAUCCUCAGCUACUGCAGCCAUCUCCGCAACCUCUCGUCAGCUGCUGCACCCAUCGCAACCAUCUCUUUCCACCUCAGUCUCCACCUUCCGGCUCCCUCAUCUCUGCCGUUCUCUUUCUUCCCCAUCUUCUCCGCAUCCUCGUGCUCUUCUCUCGCUCAAAUUUUCAGCAAUAUCGUGCGUCCCAUUCUUCUCCCUGCAACGUCAACCUCUCGCUAGA
RNAcentral lists this long non-coding RNA (821 nucleotides) under Amborella trichopoda. RNAcentral's name for it is "long non-coding RNA (ATRI_LNC000073)". Lineage: Eukaryota; Viridiplantae; Streptophyta; Magnoliopsida; Amborellales; Amborellaceae. The record is from RNAcentral.